RNAcentral lists this ribosomal RNA (1526 nucleotides) under Triticum aestivum (bread wheat). RNAcentral's name for it is "partial small subunit ribosomal RNA". Lineage: Eukaryota; Viridiplantae; Streptophyta; Magnoliopsida; Poales; Poaceae. The record is from RNAcentral.
CGUUUGAGAUGUCCAAAACAUACUAAUUAAGGUCCCAUGCAUGCAUAUAUAAAGUCCGUACCCAGGGAGAUGGCCAGAUGGGCGAAAUAUUGUUAAAGAUCCCAUGCAUGCAUAUAUAAGGUCCGUACCCAGGGCUCUCGAGAUAACCUACCAGCAAAUGCUAGUAUGAGAUUAUCAAUAAGCGCGAUACUAUCCCGCAACUUUCUCGCCAAGGCUCCAACUGAACUUCCCUUUUUCUGCGGGAGUUUGCGGACACGUGCAUGCAUCUCUACCUACUAAUAAAGCAGCGAUUGCUUAUGGUCGUACUUCAUCGGCACUUUUACAAAAAAGUCCCUCGGUUUCUAAGAAUUUAAGCCGCAGUCCUAUUUUAAGUGUUUUCUGAAGAUAACGUUUCAUUUUUGCAAACAAAACCCUGCAUUAGUUACAAUUCCAUCCGUGCUCCUUAAUCCUUAUCCAUUGCCAUCCUCCACCUCCCGGCACGUGCUGCCGCUUGCCGCUGGCGUCCACGCGGCAGAACCCAAGAAAGUGGUGAUGCGUCGCGGCGGGCGUCCGCACCGCCCGAGCCCAGGAACGGGGUGAGGCGUCGCGGCGGGCGUUGGAGAGCACAGAGGACAGGAAGUCGCUAAACAUGGCCUUGGCCGGCACAGGGACGAGCUCGCUGGUGCGCUUGAGGCAGGCGAGCCUAGCCCGCAAGUCCUCCUGCUGCUUGGCGAUGCCCUUGGCCUUCCUGCGGGCCUUGUCGUCCUCGGCGCUGGCCUUGGCGGGCCGAGGCGCCGCGGUGCAGGCGGCCGCCGUGCUCUCUUGGGGCAAGGCGCGCGCCACGCGAGGGCGGUGCGACGAAGGAAACAAAAAGAGAGAAAAUAGAAAUCAGGGAUCUUAAAACCUCGCCGGCCCACGCUCACCAAAGACCUGCAGAACCUUCACUCGAGCAGGGCAGAGAGAUGGCGAACGACGGCUUCGCGGCUGAGCUGGGCUGAGGCAGCUGCGUGGCCCACGCGGUGGACGAACUGGCGCUCCUCUCCGUCGUCCUCCCGACGGCAGGUGAGGCAGGAAUGCGGCGGAUUCAGAUAUCACGGCGCAACCUCCCUACUACUCCAGCUCGCGCGUGGCGGUGUGCAUCACGGCCUGAGAUGGAGACCCGGAUGCUGGCCGGGAGGGAAGGCGCAACAGUCGGAGAGCGUGGCCGACGAGCUGCAGCUGGAGGCACUCGGCUUGGAGGCGCGGUCGAGCUGGGGAGGGGAGAGAUCCCAGCGAGCGGGGAGGCGGAGCACGCUUGCGGGUGUAGAGACUAGAGAGAGGGGGCGCCGGGGAAGGGAGAGCUGGCCGACGGCGACGGGGUUCUUGCAAGCGAGAGGAGAGAGGAGAAGGGAAUCGAUGGAGGCAAACGGGGUCUCGGCCACAGGUUGGAGAGGAGCGGCGUGGGGCUUAUCCCCUCGCAUGCGUGUGUGGCCUGGGGCUUAUCCCCUCGCGUGCGUGUGUGUGGCUGUGGUUGAGCCAGGUUGGGCCUUGGCUAGGCUGGGGUUUUA